AGUGAACGCUGGCGGUAGGCCUAACACAUGCAAGUCGAACGGCAGCACAGUAAGAGCUUGCUCUUACGGGUGGCGAGUGGCGGACGGGUGAGGAAUACAUCGGAAUCUACUUUUUCGUGGGGGAUAACGUAGGGAAACUUACGCUAAUACCGCAUACGACCUACGGGUGAAAGCAGGGGAUCUUCGGACCUUGCCCGAUUGAAUGAGCCGAUGUCGGAUUAGCUAGUUGGCGGGGUAAAGGCCCACCAAGGCGACGAUCCGUAGCUGGUCUGAGAGGAUGAUCAGCCACACUGGAACUGAGACACGGUCCAGACUCCUACGGGAGGCAGCAGUGGGGAAUAUUGGACAAUGGGCGCAAGCCUGAUCCAGCAAUACCGCGUGAGUGAAGAAGGCCUUCGGGUUGUAAAGCCCUUUUGUUGGGAAAGAAAAGCAGCAGGUUAAUACCCCGCUGUUCUGACGGUACCCAAAGAAUAAGCACCGGCUAACUUCGUG
This 492-nucleotide ribosomal RNA is filed under the name uncultured bacterium. RNAcentral describes it as "partial 16S ribosomal RNA". It matches the Rfam family "Bacterial small subunit ribosomal RNA", at positions 29 to 507 of the family's 1533-position model. The record is from RNAcentral.